Molecule: long non-coding RNA, 543 nt
Organism: Symphalangus syndactylus (siamang)
Lineage: Eukaryota; Metazoa; Chordata; Mammalia; Primates; Hylobatidae
Source: RefSeq, a predicted model, not a curated record
AACCAUGUGGCAGCCUUGGAGUUGCUCUGAACCUAUUCUGGUUCUGAGGUCUGCCCCAUUCUGGAAUUGUUUUUUGAUCAAUUAAGCCCUAUCAAAUUUAAUUUGUCUACAGUUUUUCAUUUAACAGAUGGCAUCAGAAGUGGGAUUCAAAGUAGAGCUUCCUGGGACCCUCAGGAGCACUGACUGACCAGGUGAGACACCUUCCAGGGUCGUCAUGUCCAUUGGUCACUUGCAGCAACUGAGGAUCAUGGGUACUGAGGAGUGCAUGUGGAGGGUUCUGGCAAGAGGCCCAGGGGUUGAGUGAAGCUUCAUGCCUAUAUCAUUUCAACUUGGAGACCUGAAGGAAAGAGCUCUCACCACCCUUCUUCCCAGAAGGAAGGGGUUUCGUUAUGUUGCACGGGUUGACCUCAAACUCCUGGACUCAAGUGUUCCACCCACUUCGGCCUCUGGAUUUGCUGAGACUACAGAUAAUGAAGAUGAUUACUAUUUCUGAUGCUCCAUUUUCUAGCCACUUAGUCCAAGUGAUAUUUCGUAACUUUGAAC